GAUGAACGCUAGCGAUAGGCUUAACACAUGCGAGUCGAGGGGCAGCAUGGUCUUAGCUUGCUAAGACUGAUGGCGACCGGCGCACGGGUGCGUAACGCGUAUGCAACUUGCCUCACAGAGGGGGAUAACCCGUCGAAAGACGGACUAAUACCGCGUACACUUGGGAUAGGGCAUCCUGACCCAAGGAAAUGAAAUUCGCUGUGAGAUAGGCAUGCGUCCCAUUAGCUAGUUGGUGAGGUAACGGCUCACCAAGGCGACGAUGGGUAGGGGAACUGAGAGGUUGAACCCCCACACUGGUACUGAGACACGGACCAGACUCCUACGGGAGGCAGCAGUGAGGAAUAUUGGUCAAUGGGCGAGAGCCCGAACCAGCCAAGUCGCGUGAAGGAUGACUGUCUUAUGGAUUGUAAACUUCUUUUAUACGGGAAUAACAAGAGCCACGUGUGGCUCCCUGCAUGUACCGUAUGAAUAAGCAUCGGCUAACUCCGUG
This 490-nucleotide ribosomal RNA is filed under the name uncultured bacterium. RNAcentral describes it as "partial 16S ribosomal RNA". It matches the Rfam family "Bacterial small subunit ribosomal RNA", at positions 28 to 507 of the family's 1533-position model. The record is from RNAcentral.